GACGAACGCUGGCGGCGUGCUUAACACAUGCAAGUCGAACGGAAAGGCCUCUUUCGGGGGGUACUCGAGUGGCGAACGGGUGAGUAACACGUGAGUAACCUGCCCUUUACUUUGGGAUAACUUCAGGAAACUGGGGCUAAUACCGGAUAGGAGCUCCUGCUGCAUGGUGGGGGUUGGAAAGUUUCGGCGGUUGGGGAUGGACUCGCGGCGUAUCAGCUUGUUGGUGGGGUAGUGGCUUACCAAGGCUUUGACGGGUAGCCGGCCUGAGAGGGUGACCGGCCACAUUGGGACUGAGAUACGGCCCAGACUCCUACGGGAGGCAGCAGGGGGGAAUAUUGCACAAUGGGUGGAAGCCUGAUGCAGCAACGCCGUGUGCGGGAUGACGGCCUUCGGGUUGUAAACCGCUUUCGCUCAUGACGAAGCUUUGUGUGACGGUAGUGGGUAAAGAAGCACCGGCUAACUACGUG
This 467-nucleotide ribosomal RNA is filed under the name uncultured bacterium. RNAcentral describes it as "partial 16S ribosomal RNA". It matches the Rfam family "Bacterial small subunit ribosomal RNA", at positions 28 to 507 of the family's 1533-position model. The record is from RNAcentral.